This 21-nucleotide microRNA is filed under the name Plutella xylostella (diamondback moth). RNAcentral's name for it is "pxy-miR-8530-3p". The record is from miRBase by way of RNAcentral. Lineage: Eukaryota; Metazoa; Arthropoda; Insecta; Lepidoptera; Plutellidae.
UAAGGUCAUCACGUUUUGUCC